This 482-nucleotide ribosomal RNA is filed under the name uncultured bacterium. RNAcentral's name for it is "partial 16S ribosomal RNA". It matches the Rfam family "Bacterial small subunit ribosomal RNA", at positions 29 to 507 of the family's 1533-position model. The record is from RNAcentral.
AUUGAACGCUGGCGGCAUGCCUUACACAUGCAAGUCGAACGGUAACGGGCCUUCGUGUGCCGACGCGUGGGGGACGGGUGAGUAAUACAUCCGAACGUGCCCGACCGUGGGGGAUAACGAAGCGAAAGCUUUCCUAAUACCGCAUCCGAUCUACGGUUCAACUCAGUGGACCGCGAGGCCUUGCGCCGACGGAUCGGCCGAGGGCGGAGGAGUUUGUUGGUGGGGUAAACGGUUACGCAGCCGACGAUCUUGAGCUGUUCCGGGAGGAUGAUCAGCCACAUGGGGACGGAGACACGGCCCAGAGUCCUAAGGGAGGCCGCAGUGGGGAAUGGGGGACAGUGGUCGGAAGCCUGAUCCAGCGAUGCGGAGUGCAGGAUAAAGGCCUCCGGGUUGUAAACUGGUCUUGUACGGAACGAAAAGCCUUCUUUUAAUACAGGAGGGUCAUGACGGUACCGUAUGAAGAAGCACCGGCUAACUACGUG